CACUGCACCCCAGGCUGGGUGAAAAAGUGAGACUCUAUCUCAAAAAAAGAAAAGAAAAGAAAAUCACAUCCAAAUACUUUUAAACGUUCAUGUGCCAGAUUUAAUAUUCAAGUUGCUAACAUGUUAUCUGUAUGUAAAAAAAAAAUGUUCUUCUAACCAGACUUCUUCCAGACUUGUUUUGAUCAGUCUCAACCGGCAUAUGUCAUUGGCACAUUUAAGCACAGGUAUGUAAUUAUUAGCAAUAGUGAGAUGUUCUACAGUGGAGUGCCCAUGUCACCUGAGAUGUGGUGAACAGUUUCAAAUAUCCUUCAUUUUCUGGUAUUCAAAAAUGAGGAAAUGACCUCAAAUUUCAGUGCUAUGGUAAUUCCCCUAGUUAUCUCCUAAUUCUGUGCUCAGUUUUUGAUGCAGCAAUUGAAGCACAGAGUGCUCCCAUGCUAGGCAAAAAUGAUAUCACAUUUUCUGGGGAAAUGUAUCCAAAGAUCAAUCUGUAAUAGAAAAACAGUAUUCACUGGGCACUUAGGUUUAUAUUAUGAUAGCAGAUACUUGAGAACUUUCUCAGAGUAGAAGCAUUCUGUGGGUUUCAUGGUGGCCCAUAAGUUAAUUGGCAGCUGGAGUGUGAAAUAAUUGACCCCCGAGAUAAUGGGUGUAUAAUGAGGAGACUGGGGUUCCUAACUAUCGAGCAUGCUUCUAUGGGAUGUCAUUGAGGUGUUUCCUGUUUCCGUGAACAGUGUCUAGUUUUUUCUUUUUUGACCCUCUAUUUUCAUCACUUCUCAGAUGAGACCCUGGUUGUGGGCAGAGGGCAUGUGAUACAUUCUCUUAAACAUCGGGUCUGCUUCCCUCUGUUUAAACUCAAGUUGGACAGACAAACCCCUUCACUGAAUGCAAGCUGGCUGGUGCUCUGCGGUUUCUGAGAUCAGCGCACAAGGCCAAACCCAGUUUGUCAAUAACAGCUUCUUCCUCAUUGCUUUAUGUUUCUAAUGAAACAGCUCCUAUCUUGUAGUACACAAAGGGGAAAUAUGAGGCUGGAAAGCAACAUAGAAUUCUUCAUUCCAGACAGCAGCCAGUGGGCCCACUGAUUAAGUGAUGGUUGUGCUUAAUGAGAGAAGAAAAAAGACAUCUAAUAGCUAAAGUUUGCCUAAACGUAAUCAUCACUUCCCGUGUAGCAAUUCCAUUUUUCUAAUACUUGAAUGUCUUAUUAUAUAAGAAAGCAAGGUACUUAUUUAUUUUUACAACCUUACCUCUAGUUUCUGUGAACGUUUUCAUGAUAUAAAUUUGUUUCUUUCUCAAAAUAGAUAAAAGACACCAACCGUCUUUUUUAAUCUACUGAAGCACAUGAAUAGUGCUCAUGUCCAUUUUAGGAUACUUCUUUUGUAAGCUAUGAUAUAGGUCUUCCCCACCAAUGGUGGCAGCUUCUGUAGAGGCAAUUUACAAAAACACGAGCACCCCUACCUCCCACCUACAGUUUUUGCUUUCUAUAAAAGUGUUGAGUAUGUCAUAGCUAAGUGGAAUGAAAUGUCCUCCUCCAGAGAAGAAUCUCUUACUAAAAGUAGCCCAGAAGUUUACUGUUGGUGCUUAGAAAAUAAUUGAAGGAUGUGGAAGAAGAAUUACAAAGACAUGCACACACAUGCACUUGCACACAUACAAACACACACACACACACACGUUUAUGAGUCACUGACUGGCAAUCAUAAUAAAUUAUUUCCCCAAAAUGAAUUUUAAGCCUGCAGACUCCAGAGAGGUUGCCUCACCGGCCUGGAGCAGUGCUGGGUGGAGUUGUUUACUCUCCAGUGGCAGCCUUAGGGCUCUUCAGGUAUAUGCGCUCUUAGGCCUCUGUUACCUUCUGUCACUGGGAGACAGGCAGCGAGCGUGUGCACCAGAAACUGCUGCCAUGCCUGUCGCCCUCUAUAAUGUGCAGAUUUUGCUGACUUUUCUCUGAAACCGUAAGAAAAGAUCUAGGGACCAGCUGAAUCACUUGAACUACGGUGAAGAUACGAUGUCUCUGAAAUGAUAAAGCUACAUUUGU
Molecule: long non-coding RNA, 2023 nt
Organism: Cercocebus atys (sooty mangabey)
Lineage: Eukaryota; Metazoa; Chordata; Mammalia; Primates; Cercopithecidae
Exons: 2
Source: RefSeq, a predicted model, not a curated record